GCAGAGAGGGAGCGCGCCUUGGCUCGCUGGCCUUGGCGGCGGCUCCUCAGGAGAGCUGGGGCGCCCACGAGAGGAUCCCUCACCCGGGUCUCUCCUCAGGGAUGACAUCAUCCGUCCACCUCCUUGUCUUCAAGGACCACCUCCUCUCCAUGCUGAGCUGCUGCCAAGGGGCCUGCUGCCCAUCUACACCUCACGAGGGCACUAGGAGCACGGUUUCCUGGAUCCCACCAACAUACAAAGCAGCCACUCACUGACCCCCAGGACCAGGAUGGCAAAGGAUGAAGAGGACCGGAACUGACCAGCCAGCUGUCCCUCUUACCUAAAGACUUAAACCAAUGCCCUAGUGAGGGGGCAUUGGGCAUUAAGCCCUGACCUUUGCUAUGCUCAUACUUUGACUCUAUGAGUACUUUCCUAUAAGUCUUUGCUUGUGUUCACCUGCUAGCAAACUGGAGUGUUUCCCUCCCCAAGGGGGUGUCAGUCUUUGUCGACUGACUCUGUCAUCACCCUUAUGAUGUCCUGAAUGGAAGGAUCCCUUUGGGAAAUUCUCAGGAGGGGGACCUGGGCCAAGGGCUUGGCCAGCAUCCUGCUGGCAACUCCAAGGCCCUGGGUGGGCUUCUGGAAUGAGCAUGCUACUGAAUCACCAAAGGCACGCCCGACCUCUCUGAAGAUCUUCCUAUCCUUUUCUGGGGGAAUGGGGUCGAUGAGAGCAACCUCCUAGGGUUGUUGUGAGAAUUAAAUGAGAUAAAAGAGGCCUCAGGCAGGAUCUGGCAUAGAGGAGGUGAUCAGCAAAUGUUUGUUGAAAAGGUUUGACAGGUCAGUCCCUUCCCACCCCUCUUGCUUGUCUUACUUGUCUUAUUUAUUCUCCAACAGCACUCCAGGCAGCCCUUGUCCACGGGCUCUCCUUGCAUCAGCCAAGCUUCUUGAAAGGCCUGUCUACACUUGCUGUCUUCCUUCCUCACCUCCAAUUUCCUCUUCAACCCACUGCUUCCUGACUCGCUCUACUCCGUGGAAGCACGCUCACAAAGGUUCCCAGUGCCCCCGACAAGCCCCUGCUGGUGUCUCCAUCUCCUGCCAAGCAUCCUCCAGUGCCUCCUCCUGUGGGCCUGGCCUCAGGGCUAUGGACAGACUCCUGUCCCAUCCCAGAGACCCCUCGUGAUCGUGCCCUGGCACGUGGGCCGUGGCCCGGCUGGGUCGGCUGAAGAACUGCGGAUGGAAGCUGCGGAAGAGGCCCUGAUGGGGCCCACCAUCCCGGACCCAAGUCUUCUUCCUGGCGGGCCUCUCGUCUCCUUCCUGGUUUGGGCGGAAGCCAUCACCUGGAUGCCUACGUGGGAAGGGACCUCGAAUGUGGGACCCCAGCCCCUCUCCAGCUCGAAAUCCCUCCACAGCCACGGGGACACCCUGCACCUAUUCCCACGGGACAGGCUGGACCCAGAGACUCUGGACCCGGGGCCUCCCCUUGAGUAGAGACCCGCCCUCUGACUGAUGGACGCCGCUGACCUGGGGUCAGACCCGUGGGCUGGACCCCUGCCCACCCCGCAGGAACCCUGAGGCCUAGGGGAGCUGUUGAGCCUUCAGUGUCUGCAUGUGGGAAGUGGGCUCCUUCACCUACCUCACAGGGCUGUUGUGAGGGGCGCUGUGAUGCGGUUCCAAAGCACAGGGCUUGGCGCACCCCACUGUGCUCUCAAUAAAUGUGUUUCCUGUCUUAACAAAAAAAAAAAAAAAAAAAAAAAA
Molecule: long non-coding RNA, 1731 nt
Filed under: Homo sapiens (human)
Lineage: Eukaryota; Metazoa; Chordata; Mammalia; Primates; Hominidae
Description: maternally expressed 3, transcript variant 3 (MEG3)
Rfam family: Maternally expressed 3 conserved region 2 (bases 512-616)
Source: RNAcentral